CCCUAGCCCUUCAGAGGGGGACAACAGUUGGAAACGACUGCUAAUACCGCAUACGAUCUAACCUCGGCAUCGAGGAUAGAUGAAAGGUGGCCUCUAUUUAUAAGCUAUCACUGAAGGAGGGGAUUGCGUCUGAUUAGCUAGUUGGAGGGGUAACGGCCCACCAAGGCGAUGAUCAGUAGCCGGUCUGAGAGGAUGAACGGCCACAUUGGGACUGAGACACGGCCCAG
Molecule: ribosomal RNA, 227 nt
Filed under: uncultured bacterium
Lineage: Bacteria
Description: partial 16S ribosomal RNA
Rfam family: Bacterial small subunit ribosomal RNA
Source: RNAcentral